RNAcentral lists this ribosomal RNA (565 nucleotides) under uncultured Pseudomonadota bacterium. RNAcentral describes it as "bacterial SSU rRNA". It matches the Rfam family "Bacterial small subunit ribosomal RNA", at positions 156 to 716 of the family's 1533-position model. The record is from RNAcentral. Lineage: Bacteria; Pseudomonadati; Pseudomonadota.
ACGGUAGCUAAUACCGCAUAACGUCGCAAGACCAAAAAGGGGGACCUUCGGGCCUCUUGCCAUCGGAUGUGCCCAGAUGGGAUUAGCUAGUAGGUGGGGUAACGGCUCACCUAGGCGACGAUCCCUAGCUGGUCUGAGAGGAUGACCAGCCACACUGGAACUGAGACACGGUCCAGACUCCUACGGGAGGCAGCAGUGGGGAAUAUUGCACAAUGGGCGCAAGCCUGAUGCAGCCAUGCCGCGUGUAUGAAGAAGGCCUUCGGGUUGUAAAGUACUUUCAGCGGGGAGGAAGGGAGUAAAGUUAAUACCUUUGCUCAUUGACGUUACCCGCAGAAGAAGCACCGGCUAACUCCGUGCCAGCAGCCGCGGUAAUACGGAGGGUGCAAGCGUUAAUCGGAAUUACUGGGCGUAAAGCGCACGCAGGCGGUUUGUUAAGUCAGAUGUGAAAUCCCCGGGCUCAACCUGGGAACUGCAUCUGAUACUGGCAAGCUUGAGUCUCGUAGAGGGGGGUAGAAUUCCAGGUGUAGCGGUGAAAUGCGUAGAGAUCUGGAGGAAUACCGGUGGC